Molecule: unclassified non-coding RNA, 244 nt
Filed under: rhizosphere metagenome
Description: partial ribosomal RNA internal transcribed spacer region
Source: RNAcentral
GUAGGUGAACCUGCGGAAGGAUCAUUAACGAGUUGGGGUCUUCUAGGCCCGACCUCCCAACCCUUUGUUUACAGAACCUCUGUUGCUUCGGCGGACCCGUCUCACGACCGCCGGAGGAUUGCCGCGAGGCGUCCUCUGGCCGGUGUCCGCCGAUAGCCAAAUCAAAACUCUGAAUGAAUCGUGUCUUAUGUCUAAGUCUAUGAUAAAUAAAGCAAAACUUUCAACAACGGAUCUCUUGGUUCUG